AGAGUUUGAUCCUGGCUCAGAAUGAACGCUGGCGGCAUGGCUAAGACAUGCAAGUCGAACGGACUAUUUUGAAGAGUAAUCGGAUUUAUAGUUAGUGGCGAAAGGGUGAGGAAUGGAUAGGUAACGUACCUCGGGCUCCGGAAUAGCUCAUCGAAAGGUGGGGUAAUGCCGGAUAAUGUCAUCUGUUUAAUUCAGGUGACCAAAGAUUUAUCGGCCCAUGAGCGGCCUAUUCCCUAUCAGCUUGUUGGUGAGGUAACGGCUCACCAAGGCGACGACGGGCAGCGGGACUGAGAGGUUGGCCCGCCACAUCGGGACUGAGACACUGCCCGGACCUCCACGGAGGGCUGCAGUAACGAAUAUUGGGCAAUGGGCGAAAGCCUGACCCAGCAAUGCCGCGUGUAGGAUGAAGCCUUUCGGGGUGUAAACUACUUUCAGGGAUUAGAAAGCUACGGUUGAUCAAUCCCAGAAGAAGUCACGGCUAACUUCGUGCCAGCAGCCGCGGUAAGACGAAGGUGGCAAGCGUUAUUCGAAAUCACUGGGCUUAAAGGGUGCGUAAGCGGAACUGUAAGUGUCUUGUGAAAUCCCUCGGCUUAACCGAGGAAUGGCUCGGCAAACUGCAGUUCUUGAGGCAAGUAGGGGUGUGUGGAACUCUUGGUGGAGCGGUGGAAUGCGUAGAUAUCAAGAGGAACGCCGAAGGUGAAGACAGCGCACUGGACUUGUACUGACGCUGAGGCACGAAAGCGUGGGGAGCAAACAGGAUUAGAUACCCUGGUAGUCCACGCCGUAAACGAUGUGCACUAGGUCGCGGAGGUUCUGACACCGUCGCGGUCGUAGCAAAAGUGUUAAGUGCACCGCCUGGGGAGUACGGUCGCAAGGCUAAAACUCAAAGGAAUUGACGGGGGCUCACACAAGCGGUGGAGCAUGUGGAUUAAUUCGAAGCAACGCGCAGAACCUUACCUGGGUUUGACAUGUAUGGAUGCCUAUCGGGAAACCGAGUCGGCUGCCUUCGGGUGAAACUUACACAGGUGCUGCAUGGCUGUCGUCAGCUCGUGUCGUGAGAUGUCGGGUUAAGUCCUUUAACGAGCGAAACCCUUACCGUUAGUUGCCAGCGCGUCAUGGCGGGGACUCUAGCGGGACUGCCGGUGUUAAACCGGAGGAAGGCGGGGAUGACGUCAAGUCCUCAUGGCCUUUAUGCCCAGGGCUUCACACGUGCUACAAUGGCAGGUACAAAGCGACGCGAUACCGCGAGGUGGAGCAAAUCGCAAAAAACCUGCCCCAGUUCAGAUUGCAGGCUGGCAACUCGCCUGCAUGAAGGUGGAAUCGCUAGUAAUCGCGUACCAGCGAUGACGCGGUGAAUGUGUUCCUGAGCCUUGUACACACCGCCCGUCAAGUCACGGAAGUUGGGAGUACCCGAAGUCGGAUUAUCAACCUUUUAGGAGAUGUCUGCCGACGGUAAGCUUGAUGACUGGGACUAAGUCGUAACAAGGUA
RNAcentral lists this ribosomal RNA (1489 nucleotides) under metagenome. RNAcentral's name for it is "bacterial SSU rRNA". It matches the Rfam family "Bacterial small subunit ribosomal RNA". The record is from RNAcentral.